RNAcentral lists this long non-coding RNA (7029 nucleotides) under Homo sapiens (human). RNAcentral describes it as "HSALNT0167172". Lineage: Eukaryota; Metazoa; Chordata; Mammalia; Primates; Hominidae. The record is from RNAcentral.
GUGAGGACCGGAGGCGGGGAGUGGGGGUGCUGCGACCCGCGGGUGAGCCGGGUGAUUCGAGGUCGGAGCCGACCAGCGGCCGCAGGGAGAGGCGGGCUGGCGCCUCCCCGGCGGGCGUCCCUCGGGUCGGGAUUACAGGUUACGGUUGCGAGGCUGGCAGGGCCGGAGACACUCGGCCUCGCGGCCGCCACCACCGCCACCGUGGCACUUUGGGCCGGGGGCGGGGAGGAGAGCAUUCCUAGGGGCCCGCCAGCCAAACCCGGGUCGGGCAGGCCCCGCCCCGGCCGGCCCCAAGCGGCUCACAGAAGCCUUGGCGCAGUCCAGCUCGCGGGGGGAUGGGCGAGGGUGGGGGGCAGAAAUAGCAAUCUGCAGCCGGCAAGGGGGCGGCACUUAGUCAGGCUCCGCCCACAAGACCCGGCUGCCGUCCCCGCCCGCCUGCGCGGGAUCGACUCCGCAUGCGCACUGGAGCCUCGGAAUACAGCCAGGACUCUCCCGUCGGAAUGCGCCCCUAAGUUGGGCCAAGCCCAUUCAUUCAGGGGCUCCCGAGCCACGUAGGCGCCAUCCCUGGCCAGAGGGGUUCUGAGGAGGUGGGCAAGGGCAGACACUCUCUCCCGGUCUCAAAUUCGAAAUAGGGACUAGAAGGGAACUUCACGCGAGGCCUCGCAACUGUCGCGAGAAUCAGAACAGGAAAUCUAGGAACCGAGAACACUAAGAGCCCGCGGAUUUUAAACAGGAAAAAGAAAGGGCGGAGCAAACUCUGGCGGAUAGUUGUGAGUAAUCCCUGGUCCUUGGAAUAAGUGUCGACCUGAGACAGAAGGGGAACUGUCAGAGAGCUGCCGGAGACCCUGAAAAAGGCCAGAGACGGGGACUUGUGGGGCUGACGAAUGGAAUCACCCAAGGAGAGGUCUCUGACUCUAACAAAACACCUUGGGGACGGAGCUCCUUGGCUGGGAUACAGAGCAGACAAGUCCGGGAUCUUUUAGUGAAUUGCUGCCGGCUUCUAAGGCCUGGAGCAGAUAUUCAACAACAAACUCCACGGACCUAGAAACUCUCCACUUAUCCUACUAUUGUAGACGGUGGCUUACUUUUAGUCUUCCCUAUGCUCUAAGCUUCUGGUAGUAGGAAUCGUGCCUAACUCACUACUGUAUCUUGUGAACCUAGCCCCGCGCCUGGUGGCACGUCAAAUUCUCGGUAAAUAUUUGUGGAUUAAAUGUGAAAGACUGCCUGAGUGUUUAACCUGGAUUUUCUGAGUCGCUGAUGGAGAACAGUAGGUAGACGGGGAACCAGCGCCCUCUGGUGGGCUUGUGGUUCGUGACGAGAACAUGCUGGAACCGUGCAUCCAGAUGCUUGUAUUGAAGAAGGAAUGAGGUAUAGAAUGUAGUUUUCUUUCCACUGUGAAGCCCUGUGUUCACAAGAUUAUCAUACGUUCACUUUCAGUCACUGACACAUGAAAUAACUGAAGUAUAAUGACAGAAUGAUGAGCUGGAGUGUGGUGGUGCACGCCUGUAGCACCAGCUACUUGGGAGACUGAGGCAGUAGGAUCCCUUGAGCUCAAGGGUUCGAGAGACCAUGUCUCUUUAAAAAUAGAAGUUUAGGGCCAGGCGUGGUGGCUCAUACCUCUUAAUCCCAGCACUUUGGGAGGCGGAGGCGGGUGGAUCACCUGAGGUCAGGAGCUUGAGACCAGCCUGGUCAAUAUGGUGAAACCCUGUCUCUACUAAAAAUACAAAAAUUAGCCCAGCGUGGUGGUGCACGCCUGUAAUCCCAGCUACUCAGGAGGCUGAGGCAGGAGAAUCGCUUGAAUCUGGGAGGCAGAGGUUGCAGUGAGCCCAGAUCACGCCACUGCACUCCAGCCUGGGUGACAGAGCAAGACCCCCUCUCAAAAAAUAAAAAUAAAAAAUAGAAUUUUAAAAAUAAAAGAGUGAAAAGAGCCCUAUACAGAUGAACAACAAAAGAUGAAACAAGGCAUACAGUCAUUGUUUAAUUUGGUAAAGAAAAGAAAUUACUUCAAAUGAUCCACAUAUUUCAACCUGUCACUUCACAAACCCUGUUUUGACACAGCUGGUGAAAAUAGUAGAGUUGCAACUUUGAGGAAGAAGCAGGAAUGAAACAAAUGGUCCAUACUGACCUAUUAAAGACGGAUAUGGAGAAAUUGUGCUUCCUGUGAAUAUUAGAAUUGGUUGAUUAAAAAAAAAACCUCAACAUAGAUAAUUAAAAUGGAAUACUUUGUAGCUACCAACUAUGACAAAUAGGUAAACUCAAAAUAAUGUAUGUAGGAAACAAAGUGAAAAGUAUGUAUGGAAAAAUAAGGUUAAGAGAAAAGAAGAAGUAUAUGGAUACUGAUCACAACUGUAUGUGUAUUUAUCAUCUAUAUCAUCAAUAAACAUCCUAAGAGAAUUUGGAAUGAGGCUAAUGGUUGAGUGUAAUACUCACUACUGCUUUAUAAGUUAUUUUUCCUUUUUUUUUUUUUUUUUUUUGAGACAGAGUCUAGCUUUAUCGCCCAGGCUGGAGUACAGUGGCGCAAUCUCAGCUCACUGCAACCUCGGCCUCCCGGGUUCAAGCGAUCCUCCUACCUCAGCCUCCUGAGUAGCCACCUGGCUAAUUUUUUUUUUUUUUUUUUUUUUUUUUUAAGUAGAGACAGGGUUUUGUCAUGUUGGCCAGGCUGGUCUUGAACUCCUGACCUCAAGUGAUCUGCUCACCUUGGCUUCCUAGUAGAGGCUAUUUUUAUAGGUAAAUUAGAAUGUCAAGAUAAAUGUAGCAAAGCUGGGGUGGCCAGGUAAAAAGAUUGGCUGGGCACAGUGGUUCAUGCCUGUAAUCCCAGCCCUUUGGGAGACCAAGGUGGGCGGAUCACCUGAGGUCAGGAGUUCGAGACCAGCCUGGCCAACAUGGCAAAACCCCAUCUCUAUUAAAAAUACAAAAAUUAGCUGGUUAUGGUGGCGCAUGCGUAUAAUCCCAGCUACUUGGGAGGCUGAGACAGUAGAAUCGCUUGAACCCAGGAGGCGGAGGUUGCAGUGAACCGAGAUCGCGCCACCACGCCAACCUAGGUGACAGAGCAAAACUCCAUCUCAAAAAAAACAAGAAAAGAAAAGAAAAAGGAAAACAUAAUUCAGCUAUAAGUAGUGUUACAAAAUGAAGACUGGAAUAGCCAGGAACUGGCUUUCUGGAAUACCUAGGCAUUAAGGCAAGUUGAAUAAGCUUCAGGACAUCUAAAUCAGGCCUCAGUCUACCUUCGUAUAUCUCAAAAGGCAAUCCCUCCCCCUAACACCCACCUUCAGUAUCCCAUUGACCCUUGAAAUGGUGACUGUAGCUCCAUCCAACCUGAUGACUUGGCCAAAUGUUAUAUUGAUAAACUUAGAAAAGAUGCUUAAAUCAUUCCACAUGUACAUUGUUUCUACAUUUCUAUUUCUUUCUUUCUUUUUUUUUUUGAGACAGAGUUUCACUGUUGUUGCCCAGGCUGGAGUGCAAUGGCACAAUCUCGGCUCACUGCAACCUCCACUUUCCACGUUCAAGCAAUUCUCCUGCCUCAGCCUCCCGUGUAGCUGGGAUUAUAGGCAUGCACCACCAUGCUAGGCUAAUUUUGUAUGUUUAGUAGAGACAGUGUUUCACCACGUUGGUCAGGCUGGUCUUGAACUGACCUUAAGUGAUCCACCCACCUCGGCCUCGCAAAGUGCUGGGAUUACAGACGUGAGCCACCGCGCCUGGCCCUUUCUACAUUUCUUGUUCUCAUUUUGUUUUUAACUUAAUUUCAUUAUGAAGUAUAAUAGACAAGCAGAAAAGUGCACAAAGUAGAUAUAUGGUUAAAUUAAUUAUUACUAAAUGAACACUUGUGAUUAUCCAGGUCAAGAAACAGAACAUUGCCAACACCCUCAGAAGCCCCCAUCAUGCCCCUCCCCGAUAAUUUUCCCUCCUCUUCUCCCUAGAUAACCAUUUUUUUGUUUGUUUUUUUGAUUUGUUUGUUUGUUUUUGUUGAGACAUGGUCUUUCUCUGUUGCCCAGGCUAGAGUGCAGUGGCGUGAUCAUGGUUUGUUGCAGUCUCAAAGUCCUGGGUUCAAAGGAUCCUUCCACGUCAGCCUCCCAAGUAGCUGGGACUACAGGCACACCACCACACCUAGCUAAUUUUUUUAUUUUUAUUUUUGCAGAGACAAAGUCUUACUAUGUUAUCCAGGCUGGUGUGGAACUCCUGACCUCAAGCAGUCCUCCCACCUCAGCCUCCCAAAUUGCUGGGAUUAUAGAUGUGAACCACUGUGCCUGGCCAAUAACCACCUUUAACUCUAUACUUUAAGUUUACCUGGUUUUGACAUUUAUAGAAAUUGGGACAUGCCUAGGAUUGGAAUUACUGCUUCAUGUGAUAUGCAUAUUCAACAUUAGUAGAUUUUCUUUUCCUUCCUUCCUUCUUUCCUUCCUUCCUUCCUCCUUUCCUUCCUUCCUUUCCUUCCUUCCUUCCUUCCUUUUCUUUCUUUCCUUUUCUUUUCUUUCUUUCCUUCUUUUCUUUCUUUUUUUUUCUUUUCUUUCUCACAGGGUCUCACUCUAUCUGGGCUAGUCCCAAACUCCUCGGCUUAAGCAAUCCUCCCACCUCAGCCUCCCAAAAUGCUGGGAUUAUCAACAUUAGUAGAUAUUACCAUACACUUUUUCCAGUGUGAUGUAUGAAUUUAUAUAGUCUUCAGCAGUUGAUGAGUUUUCAUUAUGCCACAUCCUUGCCAAGAGUUGGUAUUGUUGUUGUUCUUUUAAAUUUUAGCCAUUAGGUAAAAAUUUUAGAGCCUAAAAUUUUUAAAUGGCCAGUUCUGCAAGGAUUUCCUCUCUUGGAUAUUUUUUUAAAAACCUUUUAUUUUGAAUUUUAGACUUGGAUAGAAGUUGUGAAAAUAGCAAAGAAAUUUCCCAUGUACCUGUCACCUAGCCUACCCUGGUGAUAACAUAAUAUCUUAUAUAACCAUGAUAUAAUUAUCAAAACCAGGAAAUUGAAAUUUAUACAGUACUAUUAGCUAAACAAUGGACCUUAUUUGGAUAUCACUGGUUUGAUAUUACGUGUGUGUGUAUAAUUGAAAUUUUAUUGCAUGUGUAGAGUUGUGUGACCAUGAGGUGAGUAAAUGGGUCUUCAGGGGUAUGACAGGGUAAAACUGAUGCCAAGGGAAAAGCUAGUAGACUCUAUAGUACUAAACACAAUGUCAUUUAAUAUAUGAGUAGCUUUAAAAUUAUUAUAUCAAAAGUCAGUGAUAGGAAAGGCAGCUAGUUACGGUAGCUAAACACACACAGCUGGGUGCGGUGACACAUGCCUAUAGUCCCAGCUACUCAGGAGGCUGAGGCAGGAGGAUCACUUGAGUCCAGGAGUUCAAGUCCAGCCUGAGUGAAAUAGCAAGACCCCGUCUCUAUAAAAACAACAAAAACCCACUCUCACACAUUUGCACACUGUGCGUCUACCUGUUGGGGGAGCUGUGCACAUGGGUAAAGUCCCAGGGUCACUGGUUGAAGUUCACUUUGCAUUAUGACACACUCAGAAGGAAAGAUAAGUUUCUGCCCUUACAUCCAAUUUUACUUGAAGACAACUUUCUGUAGGUGAGGCCAGUGAGAUAACUUUCUGCUGACACCCCACAGCAUCCUCGUUCCUUCUGCCGGACUUCCAGAUUUCUAUUUCUGGCCCAAACCUCUCUCCUGAACAUCACUCCAUGGAUUCGUCUACAACCACUUCUAGUAUUUUCUUCCACAGCCAGGGAAGAAGUCCAUAAACAGCUCCCGGCUACAUCAUACUUAGGACGCCCAGAAAAAUGUAUCAGUAUAUCACAUCUCAGGGAAACCUUUUAUUGACUCUGUUUAGGUGAUGUGCUCAACAAUAAUUCACCACAUGGCCCAGGAGCCACCACCCUGGACCACAAACCCCAUAGCAGAUGCAGUCAGUACCUCACUCAUAUACCCUUGGCUCACUCCAAAGGUUACCUGCAGAUAGUUCCUUUAUGACCCGGUGUGUCUGUCUGUCGGAGGGAGUUCUUUAGCCCCUAGAGUCAGCUUGGCUGACAUGCAGGGCAGGCUGGAAAUGCUGUGGAGGUAACAACUCAGGAGCAAGCCACAUCCGGUGAGGAAAAACAAUAGAGGACAGAUAAUCCUGUUCCUUACCCUUCAGUGGGAUAAUUUUGAGGUGUGUUCUCCACAGUUUUGCAGAAGGCUUAGAGAGACUGAGUCACAGUUGUCCUCAGUGGUAACCUGCUCAUUAAUGCAUCCUUUAUUUGGUUUUCCUCCUCUCUCUGACUUCCCUUCCCCCUCACUGUGUUUUCUGGGAUAAACUCCCAAAUAAACUACUUGUACCAAAAUCCUUGCCUUGGGAUCUGCUUUCUGGGAAAUCAAAAUUAAGACAACCCCUGUAAAGGGAGGAGGCCAUCUUCCUGAGUGCCCCAUCAAGACCACAGGGACCAGGGGGAGAUCUUAGACCCCAAAACCACAUUGUGACAAUAUCUUUGCUGACAUCCCACUUUAUUUCCUUCCUUUUUUUUUUUUUUUAAGAGAUAGAAUCUUUUUCUGUGGCCAUGGCUGGAGUGCAGUGGCAUGAUCAUAGCUCACUGCAGCCUUGAACUUCUGGCGUUAAGCAAUCCUGCCUCAGCCUCCCAAGUAGCUGGAACUACAGGUGCAUGCCACCACACCUGGAUAAUUUUUUUUGGUAGAGACAGGGUCUGGCUCUGUUGCCCAGGCUGAUCUUAAACUCCUGGUCUCCCAAAGCACUGGAUAUCCCACUUUUUUCUUCUUCUUCUUCUGUUUUUGAGACAGUGUCUCUGUCACCCAGGCUGGAGUGCAAUGGCACGAUCUUGGCUCACUGCAAGCUCUGCCUCCCGGGUUCAAGCAAUUCUCCUGCCUCAGCCUCUUGAGUAGCUGGGAUUACAGGCACUUGCCACCAUGCCCGGCUAAUUUUUUUGUAUUUUUAGUAGAGAUGGGGUUUCGCCAUGUUGGCCAGGCUGGUCUCGAACUCCUGACCUCAGGUGAUCUGCCUGCCUCGGCCUUCCAAAGUGCUGGGAUUACAAGCAUGAGCCACUGCACCCGGCCUGGAUAUCCC